GAGCAAUCUUGAAGCUUCGGUUCGUGUAAGCUUUUGUGAGCAUCUUUCAAACCGUGACGCAGCAGAAAAUUUUAACGUCACAUGAAGAUGGGAGGAAGAAUCUGACAACUAAAUCUAACUUGCGCCGGUGACCAAAAGUGGAUUUUACAGCUUGACAAGAUUGUUCAACUGAGUGAUACGGUUUUGUAAUCUGAUGACGGUCCAGUGCUAACGUCAAUCUCUAAGCAACCAGUGCUGGAUGUUAAGUUUGGAAGGCCAAGUUGUGUGUGAAGGAGCACAGCCCAACUUUAUCACUGGCCUGGCAGCUGUUUGCCUCCUUCUAUAACUUCAACUUGCAGUACCAGGAAG
Xyrauchen texanus (razorback sucker) is the source of this 348-nucleotide long non-coding RNA. RefSeq lists it as uncharacterized. The record is from RefSeq and is a predicted model, not a curated record. Lineage: Eukaryota; Metazoa; Chordata; Actinopteri; Cypriniformes; Catostomidae. The transcript has 3 exons.